This is a long non-coding RNA of Brassica napus (rape), 2924 nucleotides long. RefSeq lists it as uncharacterized. The record is from RefSeq and is a predicted model, not a curated record. Lineage: Eukaryota; Viridiplantae; Streptophyta; Magnoliopsida; Brassicales; Brassicaceae. The transcript is spliced from 3 exons.
GACCAACCCUAGAUCCUCCGGAACUUCAGACUUCCGACCAAGCUUUAAGCAUACUUGUUUUGUCUCCUUUCCCGAUCCUGAAACUUUGAUUCUUUUGUCCUCACUUCGAAUCCUUCCUCUGUUUUCUGAUUGGUUAUCUCCUCUGACUUCCGAGACCCCUCUGCCUUUCUGUAGCUUUCUCAGUUCCAAAGACAACGAUGGACAAGCUUCAUCAAGCUUCAAUAAUGCUCAGCUUCGCCAAGCACCCGUCGAACUUCUCUCCUGGUAGCGUCUUUGUCAACAUAUCAGACGGAUUAACUGAGAUGCCUUCCCUUACUGCAUCCGAUAAAGCCAUGCAUUCAGCUUCAGUGGUUGACAAUGCUACCACCUUUUGUAGCGAUGAUCUCCAACUGACGGUGUUGCCUCCAACCGUGUAGACAUAACUGGUGAUUGAUCUGCUCUUGUCCAAGUCUGACGCAUAAUCCGAGUGGCACUAGCCUCUGACUUUGAAUUCCUCAUUUUUUGUGAAAGUUAAGUUCAAAUACAAAGCUCCUUGUAUAUCUCUCAUGAUCCAUUUGACUGUUAACAAAUGGUCCCUUCCAAGUUUGCUCAUGUACCUGCACACGAGCCCUACUGCGUAUGCCAGGUCUGGUAUGGAUCCUGCCAUGACAUACAUUAAGCUUCCCACUGCGCUGGAGUAAGAUAAAAUGAUAAAGACCCGUAGCUGGCCAUCGACCACCCUAUCAAUCGAUGGGCGAAGGCAAUAAUCGAUCGACACACACUCUGUGUUGUCGAUCGACAGCGAAGCGCGCGGAAGACAAAUUGGGUUCCAACCAAUUUUAAGCUCAAGUCCCACAAGAAUUACUGACAAGUUUUAACCUAGUGAACAAGUCAAACCCGCGCGGUAAAAAUUGCUAGAAGGAACUUCGAUCGAUAACUCAGUAGUUGCAUCGAUCGACGGGCUGAAAGGUGUAUCGAUCGAUAAUCCUUAAUCGGUAUCGAUCGACACUUUCUCAAGACCAACAAACAACAAGUGUGUGUUGUUUUGGGCAACACACGCUUUCAUACUUUCAUAUUUUCACAUCAAACAUAUUUAGGGGUUUUAGUAGUUUGGAGAGAAGAUCCAAGACUUCUUCGGAGAUUUGUAUUGGAAUUCCAGUUUUUCUACCUUAUUCUAUUUAUGCAUUCUAUUCAGAUAUUUAUUAUGUUCUGCUUUGCUAUGUUUGAGUAAUUACUAUUGUUAGAUUUAGGGGGUUAUAAGGGAUUAGCCCAAACUAUGGAUCCACUAAGGUGAUAAGAUUUUCUUCAAGGAAUUGUUUGUAAUUCUUGUGUUCUAGAAUAGCUAACUAGAACCAUGAACUUAGGAUAAUUAGGCGCACACGACGACAUGGUCUGUUAUCUGAAUUAAUACCCUUGAGCUAGAAUUGCUAAAAUCAGCUGAUUCAAGACUAGUGAACCUAUCGAUUGACGCUAAUCUCAUAGCAUCGAUCGACGUUGGAUCCGUAUCUACAAGCGACAACUGAGAUAUUCGACUUAGUCAAUAUGAUUGAUUUGUACGAGGAAGCUAGAAUACUUUCUCAUUAGAAUUCGAGUUCUAGGAUUGACAACAUGAGCAUCUAUAUCAUUAUAAUCAUGAUUACCUAAAACCCUAGAUCUAGCUACUUUUUCAUAAUUGUUUACAACCUCAACCAAUCAAUCAAUCAACUGAAUAACUAUCUUGUUCACCUCUGCUAUUUAUUGAUUUACUCUGUUUGCCUAGGUUAAUCAUAAACUGAUUAGGAUCUAUUGUGUACAUGAUAAUGUGGGAACUUAUUUAUGCUACUCGACUUUGCCUCAUGUACCCGAUGAGGGACUUUGGUAAUUUUAACACUUGGUCAAAAUUUUAAUAAUGUUUUACAUUUCGAGUUCCUCACUUCACUCCCAUUAUUUCUCAUUCAAUUUACAUUUGUUUUUGACUUAUGAAUAUACUAGAUUGUGUAGUACUCGUUGCAAUUUUUUUUUAACGAGCUGAUAAUCCGGUCAUAACAACCACCGGUUUUGCCUGAAAGACCACCAGAAAGUUGACAAAAGUCAGCCUCUUUAUUCAAGUCAAAACAGAGUUCAAACAUUAACAUGUUCUUCGUAAUUUAUAAAUCUGAUCUAGGAGUUUAGAGGUAGUUCUGAUCAGAUUUAUAAUUAGAGGUAGUUUUUUCGUAUUUUGGCUAUUAUAAGUGUAUAUAUGUACAACAUCAAGAUGCUGCAAAAAUUAGCAAAAUAAGCUUAUGUUAUGAUCUAUUAAUAAUUUCAAAACAAAAACAGUCUAGACUUCAUAUUCUCAAGAAGUCCGACCUCAUAGGAAGUUCCUUCUAGGUCCGGCCUUUUCAAAAAUUUAAUGCAACUAAGACCUUUGAUAUAGCUUUCAUAUGCAAGAGGAAUGAAGUAUUUUAAUUUUGUGGUUGAAAAUAUAUACAAGAUUUAGUGAAAACAUGUUCAUCUCACGACCAAACGGAGAAACCGUAGACAACAUGGCCCAAGCCUUUGCUAGUGCUAAACCAUGUAUCGCAACGUCAAUGCUGUCAUAAAUGAGGGUGGCCAUAUUUCUAACCAUGAUUUGUCUUGGCCGCACAAUUCAAACCUCGACCAUGAUCUUUGUUCGAUCAUAUUUGACCAAGGGCGACCUCUCCAUUGUGCUUAACCUCGGCUAUACCGCGUCACCUCGGCCGCGAUAACAUAUUUGACCAAGGGCGACCCAACUUCAGUCCAGCACCGCUAGACUUAUCCACUGCUGGCCAACUUUGGUUACAACUCUUAUGUGUCCAAGGGUGACUCUGUCUUUGAGUAAUUUUUGUAUUUAUCCUUUUUACUUAACCAUAGACCCACUUAGUAUUGUAUAUAUGUGUGUGCGUGUUUUAGCUUUUUGUUUAAUAGAAACCUAAAUACAUCAAAUUCACGAAUCUAGAGAGUAA